This 253-nucleotide ribosomal RNA is filed under the name uncultured bacterium. Its description in RNAcentral is "partial 16S ribosomal RNA". It matches the Rfam family "Bacterial small subunit ribosomal RNA", at positions 524 to 776 of the family's 1533-position model. The record is from RNAcentral.
UACGUAGGGUGCGAGCGUUAAUCGGAAUUACUGGGCGUAAAGCGUGCGCAGGCGGUUCGUGAUGUCUGAUGUGAAAGCCCCGGGCUCAACCUGGGAACUGCAUUGGAAACUAGCGGGCUGGAGUGUGGCAGAGGGGGGUGGAAUUCCACGUGUAGCAGUGAAAUGCGUAGAUAUGUGGAGGAACACCGAUGGCGAAGGCAGCCCCCUGGGUCAAAACUGACGCUCAUGCACGAAAGCGUGGGGAGCAAACAGG